CUCGUAGGCGGUUCGUCGCGUCCGGUGUGAAAGUCCAUCGCCUAACGGUGGAUCUGCGCCGGGUACGGGCGGGCUGGAGUGCGGUAGGGGAGACUGGAAUUCCCGGUGUAACGGUGGAAUGUGUAGAUAUCGGGAAGAACGCCAAUGGCGAAGGCAGGUCUCUGGGCCGUUACUGACGCUGAGGAGCGAAAGCGUGGGGAGCGAACA
This 207-nucleotide ribosomal RNA is filed under the name uncultured bacterium. RNAcentral describes it as "partial 16S ribosomal RNA". It matches the Rfam family "Bacterial small subunit ribosomal RNA", at positions 568 to 774 of the family's 1533-position model. The record is from RNAcentral.